GCUCAAAGCGCGAGUACAUGUGUUGUACAUUCGACAUGCUCACUUUCGCGGAAGUUUUAUAAAGUUAUAGUUUUGUUUAUAGUUUUUAUUAUACACAUGAUGUAACAAUUAUAGUAAAUGACGCAAUGGAUUCGCGUGAAGAGGGUUUAUUAACGUAAGCCAACACAAAGAUUGCUACUAUGCCAGC
Molecule: long non-coding RNA, 187 nt
Organism: Zerene cesonia (dogface butterfly)
Lineage: Eukaryota; Metazoa; Arthropoda; Insecta; Lepidoptera; Pieridae
Exons: 3
Source: RefSeq, a predicted model, not a curated record